UACGUAGGGUGCGAGCGUUGUCCGGAAUUAUUGGGCGUAAAGAGCUUGUAGGCGGUUUGUCGCGUCUGCUGUGAAAAUCCGGGGCUCAACCCCGGACUUGCAGUGGGUACGGGCAGACUAGAGUGUGGUAGGGGAGACUGGAAUUCCUGGUGUAGCGGUGGAAUGCGCAGAUAUCAGGAGGAACACCGAUGGCGAAGGCAGGUCUCUGGGCCAUUACUGACACUGAGAAGCGAAAGCAUGGGGAGCGAACAGG
This 253-nucleotide ribosomal RNA is filed under the name uncultured bacterium. Its description in RNAcentral is "partial 16S ribosomal RNA". It matches the Rfam family "Bacterial small subunit ribosomal RNA", at positions 524 to 776 of the family's 1533-position model. The record is from RNAcentral.